CAGCAGCCGCGGUAAUACGUAGGUGGCAAGCGUUGUCCGGAAUUAUUGGGCGUAAAGCGCGCGCAGGUGGUUUAAUAAGUCUGAUGUGAAAGCCCACGGCUCAACCGUGGAGGGUCAUUGGAAACUGUUAAACUUGUGUGCAGGAGAGAAAAGUGGAAUUCCUAGUGUAGCGGUGAAAUGCGUAGAGAUGUGGAGGAACACCUGUGGCGAAGGCGACUCUCUGGUCUGUAACUGACGCUGAGGAGCGAAAGCGUGGGGAGCGAACAGGAUUAGAUACCCCAGUAGUCCCUGUCUCUUAUAC
RNAcentral lists this ribosomal RNA (301 nucleotides) under uncultured bacterium. RNAcentral describes it as "partial 16S ribosomal RNA". It matches the Rfam family "Bacterial small subunit ribosomal RNA", at positions 509 to 807 of the family's 1533-position model. The record is from RNAcentral.